UCAAAGGACCAUACCAUCCUGAACAAAAUGGGUUUCGCCUGAUUUUGGAAGCCAAGCAGGGUCAGGUCUGGUUAGCACCUUGGUGGAAGACCACCAGGAAAUACUAGGGAUCUCUAGGA
Molecule: ribosomal RNA, 119 nt
Filed under: Pogona vitticeps (central bearded dragon)
Lineage: Eukaryota; Metazoa; Chordata; Lepidosauria; Squamata; Agamidae
Source: RNAcentral